AUGUGGAUAGACUGUGAGGAGCUUCCUCUGAGAAACAGUCAUGAUCAAGUUGAGAGCCUGUGGGUUAGAAUUAGGGAUGGGUCUAACAAAGGCCAGCUGGUGAUAGGAGUAUACUAUAGGCCACCUGAUCAAGGGGAGACUGUUGACGAGGCUUUCCUGCUUCAGAAGCGGGAGGCUUCGUGCUCGCAGGCUCUUGUCCUGACGGGGGACUUCAACCACCCGGAUAUCUCCUGGAUGGACCACACGGCGAGUUGCAAGAGGUCCAGGAGGCUCCUAGAAUGUGUUGAUGAUAACUUUCUGGUCCAGGUGUUGGACAGACUGACCAGAGGUGAAGCGCUGCUGGACCUGCUGCUCACCAAUGUGGAGGAAAUAAUGAAUGGUGUUAAGGCUGGAGGCAGCCUGGGUUGCAGUGACCACGCUCAGGUUGAGUUUGUGAUCUCGAGAACUGUGGGCCUGGUGAAGAGUGGCAUCAGGACCCUGAACUUUGGGAGAGCAAACUUUAAGCUGUUCAAUGGACUGUUGGCCGAGAUCCCCUGGGAUGCUUUCUUUAAAAACAAAAAUGCUGAGGAGAGCUGGUUACUCUUCAAGGACGCCUUCCUGAGAGCGCAAGAACUCUCUGUCCCACUGAAUAAGAAAGCGGGCAGAGGAGGGAAGAUGCCGGCGUGGCUCAGCAAGGACCUGCUGAGGGAGCUGAGGGCGAAGAAAGGUGUGUACAAACUCUGGAAACAAGGGCAUGCCACCUGGGAAGAAUACAGGGAUGCCGUCCGGACUUGCAGAUGUGGGAUCAGGAAAGCCAAGGCGCAGGUGGAACUGAACUUGGCGAGGGACGUGAAAAACAACAGGAAGACUUUCUAUAGGUACAUUGGCCAGAAGAGACAGGCCAAAGCGAGUUUACCUCCUUUGGUAAAUGUAAAAGGAGAACUGGCUUUAACGGAUGGAGAGAAGGCUGAGGUACUGAAUGAGUUCUUUGCCUCGGUCUUCACUGGCGGCCAGGACUCCAGUACUCCUCCCGUCCCUGAGCCCUGCAUCCCUACACCUCUGGGUGGGGACUGGGGUGGUAAAUCCCCCCCGCUGUGA
Molecule: long non-coding RNA, 1077 nt
Organism: Phasianus colchicus (ring-necked pheasant)
Lineage: Eukaryota; Metazoa; Chordata; Aves; Galliformes; Phasianidae
Source: Ensembl